RNAcentral lists this ribosomal RNA (1407 nucleotides) under uncultured bacterium. Its description in RNAcentral is "bacterial SSU rRNA". It matches the Rfam family "Bacterial small subunit ribosomal RNA". The record is from RNAcentral.
UUAGAGUUUGAUCCUGGCUCAGGAUGAACGCUAGCGGCAGGCUUAACACAUGCAAGUCGAACGGCAGCGGGGAUUCACUUCGGUGAAUCUGCCGGCGAGUGGCGCACGGGUGAGUAACACGUAUGCAACCUGCCUCUGUCAGGGGUAUAACUCUGCGAAAGUAGGGCUAAUACCGCGUAUAUUCCCGGAGGGCAUCCUCCGGGGAGGAAAGGUUUCGGCCGGACAGAGAUGGGCAUGCGGCGCAUUAGGCAGUUGGUGGGGUAACGGCCCACCAAACCGACGAUGCGUAGGGGUUCUGAGAGGAAGGUCCCCCACACUGGUACUGAGACACGGACCAGACUCCUACGGGAGGCAGCAGUGAGGAAUAUUGGUCAAUGGCCGGAAGGCUGAACCAGCCAAGCCGCGUGAGGGAGGAAGGCGCAGAGCGUCGCAGACCUCUUUUGCCGGGGGACAAAAGGCCGGACGGGUCCGGUUCUGAGGGUACCCGGAGAAAAAGCAUCGGCUAACUCCGUGCCAGCAGCCGCGGUAAUACGGAGGAUGCGAGCGUUAUCCGGAUUCAUUGGGUUUAAAGGGUGCGCAGGCGGGCCUUUAAGCCGGCGGUGAAAUCGCGGGGCUCAACCCCGCCGAGCCGUCGGAACUGGGGGCCUUGAGUGCGGCGGAGGCAUGCGGAAUGCGCGGUGUAGCGGUGAAAUGCAUAGAUAUCGCGCAGAACCCCGAUUGCGAAGGCAGCGUGCCGUGCCGCCACUGACGCUGAGGCACGAAAGCGCGGGGAUCGAACAGGAUUAGAUACCCUGGUAGUCCACGCCGUAAACGAUGAUUACUAGGUGUCGGUGGGUAUGGACCCAUCGGUGCCGCAGCAAACGCAAUAAGUAAUCCACCUGGGGAGUACGUUCGCAAGAAUGAAACUCAAAGGAAUUGACGGGGACCCGCACAAGCGGUGGAGCAUGUGGUUUAAUCCGAAGCAACGCGAAGAACCUUACCAAGUCUUGACAUCCCAUCGAAUAAAGGGUAAUGCCUUUAGUCCUUCGGGACGAUGGAGACAGGUGGUGCAUGGUUGUCGUCAGCUCGUGUCGUGAGAUGUUGGGUUAAGUCCCGCAACGAGCGCAACCCUUAUCUUUAGUAGCCAGCAGGUAAAGCUGGGCACUCUAGAGAGACUGCCGGGGAUAACCCGGAGGAAGGUGGGGAUGACGUCAAAUCAUCAUGCCCCUUAUGAUUUGGGCUACACACGUGCUACAAUGGCGUAAACAGAGGGAAGCGAGCCCGCGAGGGGGAGCAAAUCCCAAAAAUAACGUCCCAGUUCGGAUUGUAGUCUGCAACCCGACUACAUGAAGCUGGAAUCGCUAGUAAUCGCGGAUCAGAAUGCCGCGGUGAAUACGUUCCCGGGUCUUGUACACACCGCCCGUCAAG